UUUCCUAGAAGGCUCAGCAAUAAGCAAGGCUUGGAAUGGGGUCCCAACCUCAUCCUCAGCAUCAAUAUAGGAGACGAAAGAUAAAUGACUGACCAAGAGAGCCCUCUCUCCCCCCAUCACCACCAACUUUUUGUUCUUAACGAACUUCAACUUCUGGUGUACAGUGGAUGUCACGGCGCCUGCCUCGUAAAUCCAUGGUUUGCCAAGCAAAGAACUAUAAGACGGAUGGAUAUCCAUG
Molecule: long non-coding RNA, 238 nt
Filed under: Lathyrus oleraceus (garden pea)
Lineage: Eukaryota; Viridiplantae; Streptophyta; Magnoliopsida; Fabales; Fabaceae
Description: Pisum sativum (pea) long non-coding RNA (PSAT_LNC001328)
Source: RNAcentral